This 468-nucleotide ribosomal RNA is filed under the name uncultured bacterium. Its description in RNAcentral is "partial 16S ribosomal RNA". It matches the Rfam family "Bacterial small subunit ribosomal RNA", at positions 28 to 507 of the family's 1533-position model. The record is from RNAcentral.
GACGAACGCUGGCGGCGUGCUUAACACAUGCAAGUCGAACGGAAAGGCCCUGCUUUUGUGGGGUGCUCGAGUGGCGAACGGGUGAGUAACACGUGAGUAACCUGCCCUUGACUUUGGGAUAACUUCAGGAAACUGGGGCUAAUACCGGAUAGGAGCUCCUGCUGCAUGGUGGGGGUUGGAAAGUUUCGGCGGUUGGGGAUGGACUCGCGGCUUAUCAGCUUGUUGGUGGGGUAGUGGCUUACCAAGGCUUUGACGGGUAGCCGGCCUGAGAGGGUGACCGGCGACAAUGGGACUGCGAUACGGACCAGACUCCUACGUGCGGCAGCAGUGGGGAAUAUUGCAGAAUGGGCGGAAGUCUGAUGCAGCAACGCCGCGUGCGUGAUGACGGCCUUCGGGUUGUAAACCGAUUUCGCCUGUGACGAAGCGUGAGUGACGGUAAUGGGUAAAGAAGCCCCGGCUAACUACGUG